CAGACCUUAGCUCCCAUGAUGGCUCCAUCAUGCCCCAUUUGCAGACGGGGAAACUGAGGGAGGAGCACAGAGCUGGUGGGGCCAGGGUGGGUUGUGGAAGGAGGUGGCAUCGUUUCCCUGUGCCAAGCUGCACCCACACUCCUGACAGAGAACCAGGGAAACCAAACCUCUGGGAAGUGACAUGGUUCAUGGCCACAGCGUGGUGGCCUUGAGGACAGGAGCUGGGGACGAGACACAGAACAGAACCUUGGAAGUCCACGUCUGCCGAUGCCCACUUGGGUGGUUUCAUCAUGAUCAAUGACGCGGGGAAUAUUCUUCUACACGUAUGCAAGCGCCGGCGCUGUGUGAGGUGCCAUGACCGGGGUUUCGGGUAUGGACGGCUGCAGCUCUGAGAUCACGUCCAGCCGUCUUCCCGAGCGGCGGUAUCCGUUCCCGACCCGCCAGCAGUGCAGCUGGUCUCGAACACCAUGAUGGCAGGGACUCCGUGUCAGCAGUCUGUCCCUACAGCAGUGCCUGCCACAGUGCCAUGGCAGCUCAGUACUUGCGAUGGAAAUGAACCCAUG
Molossus molossus (Pallas's mastiff bat) is the source of this 563-nucleotide long non-coding RNA. RefSeq lists it as uncharacterized. The transcript is spliced from 3 exons. NCBI's taxonomy places the organism in Eukaryota, Metazoa, Chordata, Mammalia, Chiroptera, Molossidae. The record is from RefSeq and is a predicted model, not a curated record.